CCUACGGGAGGCUGCAGUGAGGAAUAUUGGUCAAUGGACGAGAGUCUGAACCAGCCAAGUAGCGUGAAGGAUGGCUGCCCUAUGGGUUGUAAACUUCUUUUAUAUGGGAAUAAAAUGUUCCACGUGUGGGAUUUUGUAUGUACCAUAUGAAUAAGGAUCGGCUAACCCCGUGCCAGCAGCCGCGGUAAUACGGAGGAUCCGAGCGUUAUCCGGAUUUAUUGGGUUUAAAGGGAGCGUAGGUGGAUUGUUAAGUCAGUUGUGAAAGUUUGCGGCUCAACCGUAAAAUUGCAGUUGAAACUGGCAGUCUUGAGUACAGUAGAGGUGGGCGGAAUUCGUGGUGUAGCGGUGAAAUGCUUAGAUAUCACGAAGAACUCCGAUUGCGAAGGCAGUUCACUGGACUGCAACUGACACUGAGGCUCGAAAGUGUGGGUAUCAAACAGGAUUAGAUACCCUUGUAGUC
Molecule: ribosomal RNA, 460 nt
Filed under: uncultured bacterium
Lineage: Bacteria
Description: partial 16S ribosomal RNA
Rfam family: Bacterial small subunit ribosomal RNA
Source: RNAcentral